This 433-nucleotide ribosomal RNA is filed under the name uncultured Anaerosporobacter sp. Its description in RNAcentral is "partial 16S ribosomal RNA". It matches the Rfam family "Bacterial small subunit ribosomal RNA", at positions 341 to 792 of the family's 1533-position model. Lineage: Bacteria; Bacillati; Bacillota; Clostridia; Lachnospirales; Lachnospiraceae. The record is from RNAcentral.
ACGGGAGGCAGCAGUGGGGAAUAUUGCACAAUGGGGGAAACCCUGAUGCAGCGACGCCGCGUGAGUGAAGAAGUAUUUCGGUAUGUAAAGCUCUAUCAGCAGGGAAGAUAAUGACGGUACCUGACUAAGAAGCCCCGGCUAACUACGUGCCAGCAGCCGCGGUAAUACGUAGGGGGCAAGCGUUAUCCGGAAUUAUUGGGCGUAAAGAGUACGUAGGUGGUUUUGUAAGCGUGAGGUGAAAGCCUGCAGCUUAACUGCAGCGAGCCUCAUGAACUGCAAGACUUGAGUGCAGGAGGGGUAAGUGGAACUCCAUGUGUAGCGGUGAAAUGCGUAGAUAUAUGGAAGAACACCGGUGGCGAAGGCGACUUACUGGACUGUAACUGACACUGAGGUACGAAAGCGUGGGGAGCAAACAGGAUUAGAUACCCUGGUA